RNAcentral lists this ribosomal RNA (497 nucleotides) under uncultured bacterium. RNAcentral describes it as "partial 16S ribosomal RNA". It matches the Rfam family "Bacterial small subunit ribosomal RNA", at positions 28 to 507 of the family's 1533-position model. The record is from RNAcentral.
GAUGAACGCUGGCGGCGUGCCUAAUACAUGCAAGUCGAGCGAACAGACGAGGAGCUUGCUCCUUUGACGUUAGCGGCGGACGGGUGAGUAACACGUGGAUAACCUACCUAUAAGACUGGGAUAACUUCGGGAAACCGGAGCUAAUACCGGAUAAUAUAUUGAACCGCAUGGUUCAAUAGUGAAAGACGGUUUUGCUGUCACUUAUAGAUGGAUCCGCGCCGCAUUAGCUAGUUGGUAAGGUAACGGCUUACCAAGGCAACGAUGCGUAGCCGACCUGAGAGGGUGAUCGGCCACACUGGAACUGAGACACGGUCCAGACUCCUACGGGAGGCAGCAGUAGGGAAUCUUCCGCAAUGGGCGAAAGCUUGACGGAGCAACGCCGCGUGAGUGAUGAAGGUCUUCGGAUCGUAAAACUCUGUUAUUAGGGAAGAACAAAUGUGUAAGUAACUAUGCACGUCUUGACGGUACCUAAUCAGAAAGCCACGGCUAACUACGUG